ACAGAGAUGGCGACCGUUGUUCGGAAUCACUGGGCUUAAAGGGUACGUAGGCGGGGACGUAAGUCGGUUGUGAAAUACCAUGGCUUACCCAUGGAAAGUCAAUCGAAACUGCGACUCUUGAGUGCGGUAGGGGAGAGUGGAACUUUUGGUGGAGCGGUGAAAUGCGUUGAUAUCAGAAGGAACGCCGGAGGCGAAAGCGACUCUCUAGACCGCUACUGACGCUGAGGUACGAAAGCCAGGGGAGCAAACGG
RNAcentral lists this ribosomal RNA (251 nucleotides) under uncultured prokaryote. RNAcentral describes it as "partial 16S rRNA". It matches the Rfam family "Bacterial small subunit ribosomal RNA", at positions 525 to 775 of the family's 1533-position model. The record is from RNAcentral.